AGCGAACGCUGGCGGCAGGCUUAACACAUGCAAGUCGAGCGGGCACUUCGGUGUCAGCGGCAGACGGGUGAGUAACACGUGGGAACGUGCCCUUCGGUUCGGAAUAACUCAGGGAAACUUGAGCUAAUACCGGAUACGCCCUUUGGGGGAAAGGUUUACUGCCGAAGGAUCGGCCCGCGUCUGAUUAGCUAGUUGGUGGGGUAAUGGCCUACCAAGGCGACGAUCAGUAGCUGGUCUGAGAGGAUGAUCAGCCACACUGGGACUGAGACACGGCCCAGACUCCUACGGGAGGCAGCAGUGGGGAAUAUUGGGACAAUGGGCGCAAGCCUGACGCAGCGACGCCGCGUGAGGGACGAAGGCCUUCGGUUGUAA
RNAcentral lists this ribosomal RNA (372 nucleotides) under uncultured bacterium. RNAcentral describes it as "bacterial SSU rRNA". It matches the Rfam family "Bacterial small subunit ribosomal RNA", at positions 29 to 428 of the family's 1533-position model. The record is from RNAcentral.